GUAGGGACCAAGCGUUGUUCGGAUUUACUGGGCGUAAAGGGCGCGUAGGCGGCAAUUCAAGUCAGCUGUGAAAUCUCCGGGCUUAACUCGGAACGGUCAGCUGAUACUGCUUUGCUAGAGUGCAGAAGGGGCAAUCGGAAUUCUUGGUGUAGCGGUGAAAUGCGUAGAUAUCAAGAGGAACACCUGAGGUGAAGACGGGUUGCUGGGCUGACACUGACGCUGAGGCGCGAAAGCUAGGGUAGCAAACGGGAUUAGAUACCCCGGUAGUCCUAGCCCUAAACGAUGAAUACUUGGUGUCUGGAGUUUUUAUCCUCCGGGUGCCGUCGCUAACGUUUUAAGUAUUCCGCCUGGGGAGUACGCACGCAAGUGUGAA
RNAcentral lists this ribosomal RNA (373 nucleotides) under uncultured bacterium. RNAcentral's name for it is "bacterial SSU rRNA". It matches the Rfam family "Bacterial small subunit ribosomal RNA", at positions 527 to 898 of the family's 1533-position model. The record is from RNAcentral.